Molecule: ribosomal RNA, 1754 nt
Filed under: Pseudomonas sp. URIL14HWK12:I9
Lineage: Bacteria; Pseudomonadati; Pseudomonadota; Gammaproteobacteria; Pseudomonadales; Pseudomonadaceae
Description: bacterial LSU rRNA
Rfam family: Bacterial large subunit ribosomal RNA
Source: RNAcentral
UAACGGGGCUAAGCUAUAUACCGAAGCUGCGGAUGCGAGCUAUGCUCGCAUGGUAGGAGAGCGUUCCGUAAGCCUGCGAAGGUGCGUUGAAAAGCGUGCUGGAGGUAUCGGAAGUGCGAAUGCUGACAUGAGUAGCGAUAAAGGGGGUGAAAGGCCCCCUCGCCGUAAGCCCAAGGUUUCCUACGCAACGUUCAUCGGCGUAGGGUGAGUCGGCCCCUAAGGCGAGGCAGAAAUGCGUAGCUGAUGGGAAGCAGGUCAAUAUUCCUGCACCAUUGUUAGAUGCGAUGGGGGGACGGAUCGCGGAAGGUUGUCCGGGUGUUGGAAGUCCCGGUCGCUGCAUUGGAGAAGGCACUUAGGCAAAUCCGGGUGCGUAAUUCAAGGGUGUGGCGCGAGCUCCUUAGGGAGCGAAGCAAUUGGAAGUGGUUCCAAGAAAAGCCUCUAAGCUUCAGUCUAACGAUGACCGUACCGCAAACCGACACAGGUGGGCGAGAUGAGUAUUCUAAGGCGCUUGAGAGAACUCGGGAGAAGGAACUCGGCAAAUUGGUACCGUAACUUCGGGAUAAGGUACGCCCUUGUAGCUUGAUGCGCCUGCGCGCAGAGGGUGAAGGGGUUGCAAUAAACUGGUGGCUGCGACUGUUUAAUAAAAACACAGCACUCUGCAAACACGAAAGUGGACGUAUAGGGUGUGACGCCUGCCCGGUGCCGGAAGAUUAAAUGAUGGGGUGCAAGCUCUUGAUUGAAGUCCCGGUAAACGGCGGCCGUAACUAUAACGGUCCUAAGGUAGCGAAAUUCCUUGUCGGGUAAGUUCCGACCUGCACGAAUGGCGUAACGAUGGCCACACUGUCUCCUCCCGAGACUCAGCGAAGUUGAAGUGUUUGUGAUGAUGCAAUCUACCCGCGGCUAGACGGAAAGACCCCAUGAACCUUUACUGUAGCUUUGCAUUGGACUUUGAACCGAUCUGUGUAGGAUAGGUGGGAGGCUAUGAAACCGGAACGCUAGUUUCGGUGGAGCCGUCCUUGAAAUACCACCCUGGUUUGUUUGAGGUUCUAACCUUGGCCCGUGAUCCGGGUCGGGGACAGUGCAUGGUAGGCAGUUUGACUGGGGCGGUCUCCUCCCAAAGCGUAACGGAGGAGUACGAAGGUACGCUAGGUACGGUCGGAAAUCGUGCUGAUAGUGCAAUGGCAUAAGCGUGCUUAACUGCGAGACCGACAAGUCGAGCAGGUGCGAAAGCAGGUCAUAGUGAUCCGGUGGUUCUGUAUGGAAGGGCCAUCGCUCAACGGAUAAAAGGUACUCUGGGGAUAACAGGCUGAUACCGCCCAAGAGUUCAUAUCGACGGCGGUGUUUGGCACCUCGAUGUCGGCUCAUCUCAUCCUGGGGCUGUAGCCGGUCCCAAGGGUAUGGCUGUUCGCCAUUUAAAGAGGUACGUGAGCUGGGUUUAAAACGUCGUGAGACAGUUUGGUCCCUAUCUGCCGUGGGCGUUGGAUAUUUGAAGGGGGCUGCUCCUAGUACGAGAGGACCGGAGUGGACGAACCUCUGGUGUACCGGUUGUCACGCCAGUGGCAUCGCCGGGUAGCUAUGUUCGGAAGAGAUAACCGCUGAAAGCAUCUAAGCGGGAAACUCGCCUUAAGAUGAGAUAUCCCUGGGGACUAGAUCCCCUUGAAGGGUCGUUCGAGACCAGGACGUUGAUAGGUCAGGUGUGUAAGCGCAGUAAUGCGUUCAGCUAACUGAUACUAAUUGCCCGUAAGGCUUGAUCC